This 159-nucleotide ribosomal RNA is filed under the name Biatora helvola. RNAcentral describes it as "5.8S ribosomal RNA". It matches the Rfam family "5.8S ribosomal RNA". Rfam says of the family: 5.8S ribosomal RNA (5.8S rRNA) is a component of the large subunit of the eukaryotic ribosome. It is transcribed by RNA polymerase I as part of the 45S precursor that also contains 18S and 28S rRNA. Lineage: Eukaryota; Fungi; Ascomycota; Lecanoromycetes; Lecanorales; Ramalinaceae. The record is from RNAcentral.
AAAACUUUCAACAACGGAUCUCUUGGUUCUGGCAUCGAUGAAGAACGCAGCGAAAUGCGAUAAGUAAUGUGAAUUGCAGAAUUCAGUGAACCAUCGAAUCUUUGAACGCACAUUGCGCCCCUUGGUAUUCCGGGGGGCAUGCCUGUUCGAGCGUCAUUA